GAUGAAGAAACGCAGCGAAAUGCGAUACUUGGUGUGAAUUGCAGAAUCCCGUGAACCAUCGAGUCUUUGAACGCAAGUUGCGCCCGAAGCCAUUAGGCCGAGGGCACGCCUGCCUGGGCGUCACACGUCGUUGCCCCCCCAUCUACUCCUUCGGGAUUGCGGGGGGCGGAUGAUGGCCUCUCGUGCGCCUCGUCGCGCGGUUGGCCUAAAUGCCAAGUCCUCGGCGACGCACGCCACGACAAUCGGUGGUUGCGAAACCUCGGUUGCCUGUCGUGUGCGGUCGUCGCGCAUCGAGGGCUCGAAAAAAUUGCCGGGCUUCGGCUCGACUUUCAACGCGACCCCAGGUCAGGCGGGGUUACCCGCUGAAUUUAAGCAUAUCAAUAAGCGGAGGA
Molecule: unclassified non-coding RNA, 392 nt
Filed under: soil metagenome
Description: partial contains 5.8S ribosomal RNA, internal transcribed spacer 2, and large subunit ribosomal RNA
Rfam family: 5.8S ribosomal RNA (bases 1-123)
Source: RNAcentral